Molecule: long non-coding RNA, 1147 nt
Filed under: Lathyrus oleraceus (garden pea)
Lineage: Eukaryota; Viridiplantae; Streptophyta; Magnoliopsida; Fabales; Fabaceae
Description: Pisum sativum (pea) long non-coding RNA (PSAT_LNC022586)
Source: RNAcentral
AAAAAAUCUAAUAAGCAUCAAGCCAUGUCCAGAUAAGCACAGCAGUCUACAUAACCAUCCAAGCCAAAUGCAUUAUACUUGCAGCACGCCAUGGCCUUCCACACCGUAAAUCCCAUGUCCUGCAAAACGAUGAUCGUCAAACUGCAGCAUGAGCAACAUAUUCAGCUAGUAUCAAACCAACCCUACAAACGCACGCCAAAUACCUGCAGUUUCAUAAAAGGAAGCUAAUAAGGACAAAUACAUAACUCCGUGUACUAAUGUCGAAUGUUAUUUUUCUGCAUUAUGAGCAUCCUGCAGAAUCCCAUACGGUAAAGUAUCUGGCAGUGUUAUUCCUAGUUCUGGAAAAUGACAGUUCACAAUGACAUGGCUUAUUUAAGUCCCCAUUAACUCCGGUCAUUCGAGCUCGAGGUGUCAGGGAGAUGGGAUCUGUCUUAGUACACAGUCAAGCGGCCACAACGUGUCGCUGCAACAUCACAAUAACCAGCAAUAAUUAGUUGCAAUAGCAAUAAGCUUCGCACCAAAUGUAGUGUCACCGUUAACAACAAAUUCAACAAUAUGUAUUAGCGGUACCAACAAUGCAUUGAAGCCAUUUCCGAGUGUGCAAGUCACUUACCAUUUCUCUAACCGUGUAACCAAACUAACAUGUAGAUAACCUGCAAGAAAAAACGAACCAUUGGCAUUAUAAGAUAACCAUAAAUCCAUUACAUGAGCUCCCAAACGGCUAUGCUGCAUAUUUUCCAUGACCCUCUUGUAGCAGGAAACCGAACCAUGUCGAAAAACCUGAGAUGAACCAUGACAGAAGCCUAUUACCCAAACCACCAAUUUGAAUUCGAAUGAACAUAUGUUAGGAUCAUACAGACAAAUACACGACGCAAAUAAAAGUUAGGAAGAAACAGAGCAGGCAAGACGAAUGUUCCUAACGAAGAAGCUUUCCACAGAGAAAUCACAAACAGAUGCCGAAAUCACCCUGAUGUAUCAGUCAACAAGGACCAUCCUGCAUUGAGGCAAGAGUGAGUUACAACCAGAAUUCUUUUAAAGAACAAAGCAAAGCCUUGUGAAGCUGACGAAUACUAAACAUUCACCAUCGCUUUUACACUUCUCAGAGGCUCAUACUCUCGUCUCUAAGCAAUUCGAAAUGCAAGCCAAG